AUUGAACGCUGGCGGCAGGCCUAACACAUGCAAGUCGAGCGGAUGAAGGGGGCUUGCUCCUGGAUUCAGCGGCGGACGGGUGAGUAAUGCCUAGGAAUCUGCCUGGUAGUGGGGGAUAACGUCCGGAAACGGGCGCUAAUACCGCAUACGUCCUGAGGGAGAAAGUGGGGGAUCUUCGGACCUCACGCUAUCAGAUGAGCCUAGGUCGGAUUAGCUAGUUGGUGGGGUAAAGGCCUACCAAGGCGACGACCCGUAACUGGUCUGAGAGGAUGAUCAGUCACACUGGAACUGAGACACGGUCCAGACUCCUACGGGAGGCAGCAGUGGGGAAUAUUGGACAAUGGGCGAAAGCCUGAUCCAGCCAUGCCGCGUGUGUGAAGAAGGUCUUCGGAUUGUAAAGCACUUUAAGUUGGGAGGAAGGGCAGUAAGUUAAUACCUUGCUGUUUUGACGUUACCAACAGAAUAAGCACCGGCUAACUUCGUG
This 484-nucleotide ribosomal RNA is filed under the name uncultured bacterium. Its description in RNAcentral is "partial 16S ribosomal RNA". It matches the Rfam family "Bacterial small subunit ribosomal RNA", at positions 30 to 507 of the family's 1533-position model. The record is from RNAcentral.